CAUCUGACUGAAACCGGUCGCCAGUAAGCCGGGACCAGGCCCACGGCACCGCCCUCCUCCGGCGGCCCUGGCCACCCGGCGCCGCCGCCAUCCAGCCAAUCGGCGGGCCCCCUGAGCGGUCAGACACGCCCCUUCUCUUUCCCCGAUUGUGCAAAGCUGACGCACGCUCCCACUACCGCAGGGCCGCCUGUAAAUGCGUUCGUCAUCCUGCCGGCCAAUCAAAGGGAGCGCAGGGCCGCCUAGACGCACCCCUCUCCGCCGGCGGGUCUCCAGUUCCCGCCGCGCGCUCUGGCCCCUUACGUAAGAACCACCGUGACCUCUCACCUCACCUCCCGCGCUGGAACUCUUCCCCGGAUUCGCCAACUGCCGCGGUUCUCUUGGGUGCGGCUUCCGGUCGCGAGGCCUGCCACGUGAUGCCAGCCCAGGGGCGGGAGGAAGCCCGAGGUUCUGGCUGUUGAUUAUGUAACUGUCCAAACCGAAAUAUGCUUUGACCUUUUGCUCACUUCGGAACCCUGAAUACAGACUGAACAGAACCAGAAAGUCUUCAGAGACAGAUCUUCACAUCCUCUCUGUUUUUCAAGCACCUUCAAGAGACAAGAAAACCUAUAAGACAGGAAUCUGAUGCUUAAUCUGAAGGGUGCUCAGGCCAAGAUCUAUUGACUCUUGACCCUUGAACACCUCGGGGGUUAGGGGUGCUGACCCUCAUAGUCUAAACUCCGAGUAUAACUUACAGUCGGCCCUCCCUACACUUGGCUCCUCUAUAUCCAUGCUUCUGCAUCCUCAGGCUCGAGCAACUGUGGAUGUGGUUUGUGUAGCACUGUAGUAUUUACUAUUGAAAAAAACCCAGGGCUUCCCUGGUGG
Delphinapterus leucas (beluga whale) is the source of this 861-nucleotide non-coding RNA. The record is from RefSeq and is a predicted model, not a curated record. Lineage: Eukaryota; Metazoa; Chordata; Mammalia; Artiodactyla; Monodontidae.